AGUGAACGCUGGCGGUAGGCCUAACACAUGCAAGUCGAACGGCAGCACAGUAAGAGCUUGCUCUUACGGGUGGCGAGUGGCGGACGGGUGCGGAAUACAUCGGAAUCUACUUUUUCGUGGGGGAUAACGUAGGGAAACUUACGCUAAUACCGCAUACGACCUACGGGUGAAAGCAGGGGAUCUUGGGACCUUGCGCGAUUGAAUGAGCCGAUGUCGGAUUAGCUAGUUGGCGGGGUAAAGGCCCACCAAGGCGACGAUCCGUAGCUGGUCUGAGAGGAUGAUCAGCCACACUGGAACUGAGACACGGUCCAGACUCCUACGGGAGGCAGCAGUGGGGAAUAUUGGACAAUGGGCGCAAGCCUGAUCCAGUCAUACCGCGUGGGUGAAGAAGGCCUUCGGGUUGUAAAGCCCUUUUGUUGGGAAAGAAAAGCAGCAGGUUAAUACCCCGCUGUUCUGACGGUACCCAAAGAAUAAGCACCGGCUAACUUCGUG
Molecule: ribosomal RNA, 492 nt
Filed under: uncultured bacterium
Lineage: Bacteria
Description: partial 16S ribosomal RNA
Rfam family: Bacterial small subunit ribosomal RNA
Source: RNAcentral